UACGAAGGGGGCUAGCGUUGCUCGGAAUCAUUGGGCGUAAAGGGCGCGUAGGCGGGUUCUUAAGUCAGGGGUGAAAGCCCAAGGCUCAACCUUGGAAUUGCCUUUGAUACUGAGGGCCUUGAGACCGGAAGAGGUCGGCGGAACUGCGAGUGUAGAGGUGAAAUUCGUAGAUAUUCGCAAGAACACCAGUGGCGAAGGCGGCCGACUGGUCCGGUUCUGACGCUGAGGCGCGAAAGCGUGGGGAGCAAACAGG
Molecule: ribosomal RNA, 253 nt
Filed under: uncultured bacterium
Lineage: Bacteria
Description: partial 16S ribosomal RNA
Rfam family: Bacterial small subunit ribosomal RNA
Source: RNAcentral